RNAcentral lists this ribosomal RNA (476 nucleotides) under uncultured bacterium. RNAcentral describes it as "bacterial SSU rRNA". It matches the Rfam family "Bacterial small subunit ribosomal RNA", at positions 27 to 518 of the family's 1533-position model. The record is from RNAcentral.
GGACGAACGCUGGCGGCGUGCCUAACACAUGCAAGUCGAACGGACUGAUUCCCUCGGGAUGAAGUUAGUGGCGGACGGGUGAGUAACGCGUGAGCAACCUGCCUUUCAGAGGGGAAUAACGUUUGGAAACAGACGCUAAUACCGCAUAACGCAUAGGUGUCGCAUGGCAUUUAUGCCAAAGGAGCAAUCCGCUGAAAGAUGGGCUCGCGUCCGAUUAGAUAGUUGGUGGGGUAACGGCCUACCAAGUCGACGAUCGGUAGCCGGACUGAGAGGUUGAACGGCCACAUUGGGACUGAGACACGGCCCAGACUCCUACGGGAGGCAGCAGUGGGGGAUAUUGCACAAUGGGCGGAAGCCUGAUGCAGCAACGCCGCGUGAGGGAAGACGGUUUUCGGAUUGUAAACCUCUGUCUUUGGUGACGAAGAAAUGACGGUAGCCGAGGAGGAAGCCACGGCUAACUACGUGCCAGCCGCGGC